UACGGAGGGUGCAAGCGUUAUCCGGAUUCAUUGGGCGUAAAGGGUGCGUAGGCGGCGCGGUAAGUCGGGUGUGAAAUCUCGGGGCUUAACUCCGAAACUGCAUUCGAUACUGCCGUGCUUGAGGACUGGAGAGGAGACUGGAAUUUACGGUGUAGCGGUGAAAUGCGUAGAUAUCGUAAGGAAGACCAGUGGCGAAGGCGGGUCUCUGGACAGUUCCUGACGCUGAGGCACGAAGGUCAGGGGAGCAAACGGG
This 253-nucleotide ribosomal RNA is filed under the name uncultured bacterium. RNAcentral describes it as "partial 16S ribosomal RNA". It matches the Rfam family "Bacterial small subunit ribosomal RNA", at positions 524 to 776 of the family's 1533-position model. The record is from RNAcentral.